CCACUACUAGUUCUUUCUUCUGAAUUCAUGUUACUUUAGAUACUGGGGGCUGCACCAACCUCAGCAUGUUCUAGAAGUUAUCAGUGAAACAGUAAUACUCUUACCCUAUAUUUAUGUUGUUCAUAGUACAGCAGUUCAUCUGCCUACAUAUACUGCCUUGAUGUAAUUUGGCUCUGUGUCCCCACCCAAAUCUCACCUUAAAUUGUAACCCCCAUGUGUCAAGGGUGGGACCAGGUGGAGGUAAUUGAAUCAUGGGGGCUGUUUCCCCCCUGCUGCUCUCAUGAUAGUGACUGAGUCUCAGGAGAUCUGAUGGUUUUGUAAGCAUCUGGCACUUCCCCUGCUUGCACUCACUCCAUCCUGCCACCCAGUGAAGAAGGUGCCUGCUUCUCCUUUGCCUUCUGCCAUGACUGCAAGUUUCCUGAGGCCUCCCCAACGAUAAGAACUGUGAGUCAAUGAAACCUCUUUUCUUUAUGAGUUACUCACUCUCAAGUUUGUCUUUAUUAGCAGUGUGAGAACGAACUAACAUAAGCCUGUUCCGGUCUUUGUGUUUUAAUGUGUUGUUUUCUUUUUUUCUUUUUUUUUUUCUAUUUGAUCCUGACACACACUUUCUCUAGAGCUUUGAGUACUUUCAUUUCCUGAUAACGUCAUUUUUACCAGAUGACCCUGGAGUCCCUGGCCACACAUCUCUGAAAUUAUGUUAACAGCUUCUGGGAUUCAACAAAAUCUAUGCUGGGAUAGCAGCAUGGCCGUGAAUCUCAUCAGAUUAAACGUCCUUGAGGAAUCGCCACACUGUCUUCCACAAUGGUUGAACUAAUUUACACUCCCACCAACAGUGUAAAAGGGUUCUUAUUUCUCCACAUCCUCUCCAGCAUCUGUUAUCUCCAGAUUUUUUAAUGAUCGCCAUUCUAACUGGCAUGAGAUAGUAUCUCAAUGUAGUUUUGAUCUGCAUUUCUCUAAUGACCAGUGAUGAUGAGCAUUUUUUCAUAUGUUUUUUGGCCUCAUGUUCAAGCAUUUUUAAUCUGAUAUUUAUUUAACAAGUACUUACAUAGUACUUAAAAGUGCCUCAGGAAUUGCUAUAAGUACUGUGCAAAGUUUUAUCUUAUUUAAUUCUCAUAAAAUGCCCUUGAGAUAGGCUCUGUUAUUAUCCCCAUUAUACAAUAAGAAAACUGAAGCAGAGAGUUAUGGAGCAGGCUGCCCCAAAUCACACGGCUAGUACACGGCAGAACUGACACUGGAACCGGCUGGAAAAGAGAAGGGAAAAUAAAACAAAAAAGAGAAGAAAACUAUUGCCUCUGCCUCUAUAGACCUUAUAGUUGGUGGGGGAGGCAAACAAGAACCCGAAAAUUCUAUGUGUAAAGUUGUGAGAGUGACAAAUUUUACAAAUGAGAGAGAACGGUAGGAAAGUUAAUAUUAAGGGGAUUGAAUUCCUUCAGGAAAUCAGGGAGGACUCCCUUGAAGAAGCAAUCCUUGAGUUGGGAUCUGAAAAUUGAUCAGGAAUUAGCCCAGAUUAAGUGAGAAGGUAAGAGAGUCCUGGCCAAUGGCAAUCUGUAGAAAGAUCCUUCAGAGGAAGAGAGUGAGAAGGGAAGAGAGAUGGGAAG
RNAcentral lists this long non-coding RNA (1598 nucleotides) under Callithrix jacchus (white-tufted-ear marmoset). RNAcentral describes it as "lncRNA (ENSCJAG00000083521.1)". Lineage: Eukaryota; Metazoa; Chordata; Mammalia; Primates; Cebidae. The record is from RNAcentral.